Molecule: non-coding RNA, 104 nt
Organism: Acanthosepion pharaonis
Lineage: Eukaryota; Metazoa; Mollusca; Cephalopoda; Sepiida; Sepiidae
Source: the annotation of a GenBank genome assembly
AUCUCGUUGGAACACCGGUUCCCGUAAGAUCACCGAAGUAAGGCAACGUCGAGCCUGGUCAGUACAUAGAUGGGUGACCACAUGGGAAUAGCAAGUGCUGUAAG